Molecule: ribosomal RNA, 253 nt
Filed under: uncultured bacterium
Lineage: Bacteria
Description: partial 16S ribosomal RNA
Rfam family: Bacterial small subunit ribosomal RNA
Source: RNAcentral
UACAGAGGGGGCAAGCGUUGUUCGGAAUUACUGGGCGUAAAGGGCGCGUAGGCGGUGUGUCAAGUCAGGCGUGAAAGCCCCGGGCUCAACCUGGGAACCGCGCUUGAGACUGGCACGCUAGAGUUCGGGAGAGGAUGGUGGAAUUCCCAGUGUAGAGGUGAAAUUCGUAGAUAUUGGGAAGAACACCGAUGGCGAAGGCAGCCAUCUGGACCGACACUGACGCUGAGGCGCGAAAGCGUGGGGAGCAAACAGG